Molecule: small nucleolar RNA, 138 nt
Organism: Tachyglossus aculeatus (Australian echidna)
Lineage: Eukaryota; Metazoa; Chordata; Mammalia; Monotremata; Tachyglossidae
Source: RefSeq, a predicted model, not a curated record
CCCCUCUCACAAUUGCACCUGGAGAGUUUUCAGUACUCUACCAGUUUUAGCUAUGCGAGGGAGAGUCAAGCAGAGACAUACCCAUUCCAUUCCUAUCUUAAGCAGUGGCUAGUCAGUGGAAGGCAAUCUGCUAGAAGU